GGAUGUGAGAGCACCCUGGCUGCGACAGCUGCCACCCCACUGAUGGCCAGGGCUGGUUUGGCUGGACUGGCCGGCAGGCAGGUGAUCCCUUCCCUCCCCCCCACAUACACUCCCCAAAGGUGGGCUUUCGGUGGGAGAGGACCACCUUCCUGGACAGAGGCAGACUGUUGUUUGGUCAGAGGUGUAACAGUAGCUGCGCUGCCCUGCUAGAGCCUCCAAACAAGCUCUCAAAGACUGAUUUCUAUGUGUUUGCAAGACAAGCACUUGGAUGAGACUUGGGAGCUAGGAGAAGGAGGCCCUGUGCUU
This 306-nucleotide small nuclear RNA is filed under the name Ovis aries (sheep). RNAcentral describes it as "7SK RNA (ENSOARG00000022483.1)". It matches the Rfam family "7SK RNA". From Rfam's summary of the family: 7SK was discovered as an abundant small nuclear RNA in the mid-70s but a possible function has only recently been suggested. Two independent studies have found that 7SK RNA binds the CDK9/cyclin T complex (known as elongation factor P-TEFb). The record is from Rfam by way of RNAcentral. Lineage: Eukaryota; Metazoa; Chordata; Mammalia; Artiodactyla; Bovidae.